CCUACGGGAGGCAGCAGUGGGGAAUAUUGGGCAAUGGGCGAAAGCCUGACCCAGCAACGCCGCGUGAAGGAAGAAGGCUUUCGGGUUGUAAACUUCUUUUGACAGGGAAGAGCAGAAGACGGUACCUGUCGAAUAAGCCACGGCUAACUACGUGCCAGCAGCCGCGGUAAUACGUAGGUGGCAAGCGUUGUCCGGAUGUACUGGGUGGAAAGGGCGUGUAGCCGGGCUGACAAGUCAGAUGUGAAAUCCGGGGGCUCAACCCCCGAACUGCAUUUGAAACUGUUGGUCUUGAGUAUCGGAGAGGCAGGCGGAAUUCCUAGUGUAGCGGUGAAAUGCGUAGAUAUUAGGAGGAACACCAGUGGCGAAGGCGGCCUGCUGGACGACAACUGACGGUGAGGCGCGAAAGCGUGGGGAGCAAACAGGAUUAGAUACCCCAGUAGUC
RNAcentral lists this ribosomal RNA (442 nucleotides) under uncultured bacterium. RNAcentral describes it as "partial 16S ribosomal RNA". It matches the Rfam family "Bacterial small subunit ribosomal RNA", at positions 338 to 795 of the family's 1533-position model. The record is from RNAcentral.